Molecule: ribosomal RNA, 440 nt
Filed under: uncultured bacterium
Lineage: Bacteria
Description: bacterial SSU rRNA
Rfam family: Bacterial small subunit ribosomal RNA
Source: RNAcentral
CCUACGGGUGGCAGCAGUGGGGAAUAUUGCACAAUGGGCGCAAGCCUGAUGCAGCCAUGCCGCGUGUAUGAAGAAGGCCUUCGGGUUGUAAAGUACUUUCAGCGGGGAGGAAGGCGAUGUGGUUAAUAACCGCAUUGAUUGACGUUACCCGCAGAAGAAGCACCGGCUAACUCCGUGCCAGCAGCCGCGGUAAUACGGAGGGUGCAAGCGUUAAUCGGAAUUACUGGGCGUAAAGCGCACGCAGGCGGUCUGUUAAGUCAGAUGUGAAAUCCCCGGGCUUAACCUGGGAACUGCAUUUGAAACUGGCAGGCUUGAGUCUCGUAGAGGGGGGUAGAAUUCCAGGUGUAGCGGUGAAAUGCGUAGAGAUCUGGAGGAAUACCGGUGGCGAAGGCGGCCCCCUGGACGAAGACUGACGCUCAGGUGCGAAAGCGUGGGGAGCA